UAAGCCCACAUCGCCUAAGGAGACUAAGCA
This 30-nucleotide non-coding RNA is filed under the name Rattus norvegicus (Norway rat). The record is from RNAcentral. Lineage: Eukaryota; Metazoa; Chordata; Mammalia; Rodentia; Muridae.